CCUACGGGAGGCAGCAGUGAGGAAUAUUCGUCAAUGGACGAGAGUCUGAACCAGCCAAGUAGCGUGAAGGAUGACUGCCCUAUGGGUUGUAAACUUCUUUUAUAUGGGAAUAAAAUGUUCCACGUGUGGGAUUUUGUAUGUACCAUAUGAAUAAGGAUCGGCUAACUCCGUGCCAGCAGCCGCGGGAAUACGGAGGAUCCGAGCGUUAUCCGGAUUUAUUGGGUUUAAAGGGAGCGUAGGUGGAUUGUUAAGUCAGUUGUGAAAGUGUGCGGCUCAACCGUAAAAUUGCAGUUGAAACUGGCAGUCUUGAGUACAGUAGAGGUGGGCGGAAUUCGUGGUGUAGCGGUGAAAUGCUUAGAGAUCACGAAGAACUCCGAUUGCGAAGGCAGUUCACUGGACUGCAACUGACACUGAGGUUCGAAAGUGUGGGUAUCAAACAGGAUUAGAUACCCUUGUAGUC
This 460-nucleotide ribosomal RNA is filed under the name uncultured bacterium. Its description in RNAcentral is "partial 16S ribosomal RNA". It matches the Rfam family "Bacterial small subunit ribosomal RNA", at positions 338 to 795 of the family's 1533-position model. The record is from RNAcentral.